GUAGGUGGCAAGCGUUGUCCGGAAUUAUUGGGCGUAAAGCGCGCGCAGGCGGUUCUUUAGGUCUGAUGUGAAAGCCCACGGCUCAACCGUGGAGGGUCAUUGGAAACUGGAGAACUUGAGUACAGAAGAGGAAAGCGGAAUUCCACGUGUAGCGGUGAAAUGCGUAGAGAUGUGGAGGAACACCAGUGGCGAAGGCGGCUUUCUGGUCUGUAACUGACGCUGAGGCGCGAAAGCGUGGGGAGCAAACAGGAUUAGAUACCCUGGUAGUCCACGCCGUAAACGAUGAGUGCUAAGUGUUAGGGGGGUUUCCGCCCCCCUUAGUGCUGCAGCUAACGCAUUAAGCACUCCGCCCUGGGAGUACGGCCGCAAGGCUG
Molecule: ribosomal RNA, 374 nt
Filed under: uncultured organism
Description: partial 16S ribosomal RNA
Rfam family: Bacterial small subunit ribosomal RNA
Source: RNAcentral